GAGCUGUGAUGAAAACAUAGUGAUGUUCGGUAACAUCAUUUCUCCUGAAAUACUGGAUGAGAAAAUAUUACUCUGAGCUC
Molecule: small nucleolar RNA, 80 nt
Organism: Vicia villosa (hairy vetch)
Lineage: Eukaryota; Viridiplantae; Streptophyta; Magnoliopsida; Fabales; Fabaceae
Product: small nucleolar RNA snoR114
Exons: 1
Source: RefSeq, a predicted model, not a curated record